RNAcentral lists this long non-coding RNA (1278 nucleotides) under Piliocolobus tephrosceles (Ugandan red Colobus). Its description in RNAcentral is "lncRNA (ENSPTEG00000028125.1)". The record is from RNAcentral. Lineage: Eukaryota; Metazoa; Chordata; Mammalia; Primates; Cercopithecidae.
AUGCAACCCACAGACGUGACAUCCGACUUCUCCUGGGUGUGUCACGAUCAGAGCCCCUUACCUUGGGGAGUCACUGCGUGCCUGAGCUCCAGGUCCCCCCACAGUUGCGCAAACCCAGCUAGGCUGUCUCUGAUGUCCUCCCCUUUGCAGGGCAAGUGCCGUGGAGCCUGCAUUCAAUGCAUUCCCACACAGCUGCACACCUACUCUGUACUGGGCCCCAGGGCACAAGGCGCUGGGGCAUGCGGCCUGCCCAGGGUUCCCUGUCUCUGGAGGAGGACAGAUGACCUGGCACAGCACCGGGGAUGCCUGGCCUUAAGGGGCAGGCUGCUGGAAGGGGAACUGGGAUUUCAUCAGCCAGAGAGUUGUGUGGUUGAUGAUGGUGGGAGGGGCACAAGACAAAGGGAAUGUGCCACUCAGCCUGGCACAUACAGGGACCAAGAUGCCUGGCAUGUCUGGAAGGCAGAGGGCACACUGGGCAGCCCUUGUGAUCAGCAGCAGGAAGAGACAGAGGAAGCAGAGCUCAGCCAGGCAGGGAGCUCUGCGCUACGUGAGAGACCUCGGACUGUGCGCCACGGCCAGAGAGGGAAGCCAGCUGGGCAGAUCUGCCUGCCUGGACAGGAGACUGGGAAAAUCCAGCAGCUGUUUCAGCUCCUGCCCUGCAGACAUGGAGGCUCGACUCUGGCAAUGUGCGGGUCCUGGCAGGGCGGGCGCUCAGGGGACUUACCCAGAGUGAUGCUGAGUGCUAGGGCCAUGUGGGCAAAUUCCAAGCCCUCCUGGGACUCCUCCAGUGUGGCCAGCAUUGCCACCAGCUUGUUGCACAGCUGCAGCUGCGGCUCCGCCUUGCGGUUGCCCGUAGUCACUGCCAGGGGCAGGGCCCGGUCCUACCACACAGGCAGGUGGGGUCAGGCUUCCCGCAGCAGCCACCUUGCCCAGCGCCCUCCUCAGAGCUCAAACGUGCUUGGAGCUUCCCACGCCCCAGUGACCCCUGCACCUCCACAGAGCUCUGUGCUCUGGGAUAACGCACGGUUCAGACACCCAAGUUGGGGGCUGAAGAGUCAUCUGAGGCCCAUCCAGCUACACCUGGCAGCCUCAGACCAGCCUCUCCCACCAGGGCACCGGGGGUCUGACUGCGGGGAGCCAGCACUCCUCUCUGCUCUAAAAACACCACAUUUGUCUGUGCCCAGAGCUGAGCCACACUGUGAGCUCAAAGGAAGGGAGAAGCCGUCCCCGUUUUGGGGUGCAUGCAGAUCUGGGCCCUGGCCCUGGGUCUCCCACUGA